Solea solea (common sole) is the source of this 647-nucleotide long non-coding RNA. RefSeq lists it as uncharacterized. The transcript is spliced from 3 exons. Lineage: Eukaryota; Metazoa; Chordata; Actinopteri; Pleuronectiformes; Soleidae. The record is from RefSeq and is a predicted model, not a curated record.
CAACCGCCAUAAAACCUCAAACAAGAAGAAGGGAUCUUUAAAAAAAAAAAAAGAAAGAAAAUAAAACUACCCUGGUGUGACGUCAGACGCCGAAAAGGUGGCCACGUGCAUCAACUCCUGUAUAAAAACGCAGCAAGGCGCUCCAGGAUGGCGUGUUUGACCUGGUCCAGAUUGGUGGCCUGUCCAGAAUGAUUGAUCUUCAUGAAGAUUGUCAAAUAUCUUUCCAGCCCUUUUCUUCUCUCUUUUCCUCUCUGCUCCUCCUUUUCUUUCUCCCCCCCUCUCUUUGUUGUUUACUUUCUGCCACUUCUUCAAGCAGAGCAAUUCUGCCGGAGUCCAUCCAGGUCUUUGGUCUGCAGAGGGAGGGAGAGCUGCAGUGAUGAGCAUUCCUGUUGUCUCUGAGGUGACUGCGACAUAGAGGAGCCAGUGAAAGCAGCAGUGGACCUCACAGUUGACUCACGCUGGCAUGUACGAUGUAUGAUAGUGUGACAGAAAUACAUAUAUUGUGAUAUACUGUAUACAAGGUGAUAUGGAAACAGUCUACAUUUGUCUUUGUCAAACUCGUGUUGGAGGUUUAAAUACUACACAAAACACUGUCACUGUCAAGAAUAUCUCUAUAUAGCUAUACAGCACUUUAAAGCACUGAUACA